RNAcentral lists this ribosomal RNA (1207 nucleotides) under Nematoda environmental sample. RNAcentral describes it as "SSU rRNA". It matches the Rfam family "Eukaryotic small subunit ribosomal RNA", at positions 91 to 1300 of the family's 1831-position model. The record is from RNAcentral. Lineage: Eukaryota; Metazoa; Nematoda.
GACGGCUCAUUACACCAGCUGUAAUUUACUUGACCUUGACAAACCUACUUGGAUAACUGUGGUAAUUCUAGAGCUAAUACAUGCACCAAAACUCCGAUCGCAAGAGAGGAGUGCAUUUGUUCGCCACAAAACCAGCGCCCUCGGGCGUCACAUUGCUGACCCAGAACAACUCAGCUGAUCGCACGGUCUUGCACCGGCGACGUGUCUUUCAAGUGUCUGCCUUAUCAACUUUCGAUGGUAGUGUACCUGACUACCAUGGUUGUGACGGGUAACGGAGGAUAAGGGUUCGACUCCGGAGAAGGGGCCUGAGAAAUGGCCACUACGUCUAAGGAUGGCAGCAGGCGCGCAAAUUACCCACUCUCGACUCGAGGAGGUAGUGACGAGAAAUAACAAGACCGUUCUCACAUGAGGCCGGUCAUUGGAAUGGGUACAAUUUAAACCCUUUAACGAGUAUCUAUGAGAGGGCAAGUCUGGUGCCAGCAGCCGCGGUAAUUCCAGCUCUCAAAAUGCAUAGAAUUAUUGCUGCGGUUAAAAAGCUCGUAGUUGGAUCUGUGCUGGCCGCCCGGUCUGCCCAUUGGGUAUGCACUGGCGCGGUCGGCUUUUGCUGCCGGUUUACGCCCGGCGUUGGCCUUCAUCGGUCGGCGUCGGUGGGCCGGCGAGUUUACUUUGAACAAAUCAGAGUGCUUAAAACAGGCGUUUCGCCUGAAUGUUCGUGCAUGGAAUAAUAGAAGAGGAUCACGGUCCGAUUUUAUUGGUUUUGCUGACCGAGAUAAUGGUUAACAGAGACAAACGGGGCCAUUCGUAUUGCUGCGUGAGAGGUGAAAUUCUUGGACCGUAGCAAGACGGACUACAGCGAAAGCAUUUGGCAAGAAUGUCUUCAUUAAUCAAGAACGAAAGUCAGAGGUUCGAAGGCGAUCAGAUACCGCCCUAGUUCUGACCGUAAACGAUGCCAACUAGCGAUCCGCCGGCGGAUUCAUUCGCCCUGGUGGGGAGCUUCCCGGAAACGAAAGUCUUCCGGUUCCGGGGGAAGUAUGGUUGCAAAGCUGAAACUUAAAGGAAUUGACGGAAGGGCACCACCAGGAGUGGAGCCUGCGGCUUAAUUUGACUCAACACGGGGAAACUCACCCGGCCCGGACACCGUGAGGAUUGACAGAUUGAUAGCUUUUUCAUGAUUCGGUGGAUGGUGGUGCAUGGCCGUUCUUAGUUA